Long non-coding RNA from Mus musculus (house mouse), 5908 nucleotides. RefSeq annotates it as predicted gene, 53880. The transcript has 3 exons. Lineage: Eukaryota; Metazoa; Chordata; Mammalia; Rodentia; Muridae. The record is from RefSeq and is a predicted model, not a curated record.
UGAUUAAUGUAAAGGUAAAAUGAAUUAUUUGAGGAAAUACUCAACAGCUAUUGAUGGAACCAGACUGUUUCUGUUUCUUUUCUAUAGAUUAGGUGAGACACUUUUACUUUAAAGACAUUUCCUGCUCCCUAGUAAGAUUUGACUUUUGUUUUAUUUAAAAAAUAAGUUAGUUAAAACUUAGUUGGGGGGAGCAGAAUAUGCUUACAUAAAACCCCAGCAAGGCUCUGUUUCUAUAGUGUUGUGAAGGUUAGGAUGUACCAUUUAGUAUGUACAAAUACUUUUUGGUUGUCAUAAUUAAAAAGGAAAGAAGUCAUCAAUGAUUGUUAUAUGGCAUUAGUACAUCUAUCUCAUUUUUUAUUUACUACUUGAAUUAAAAACCAAAGUAAUAUAAUUGUUUAAAAUUUCCCAGUUGUCUUUUUUUCCCCAAUUUUUUAUUAGGUAUUCUCUUCAUUUACAUUUCAAAUGCUAUCCCAAAAGUCCCCUAUAUCCUCCCCCCACCCUGCUCCCCUACCCACUCACUCCCACUUCUUGGCCCUGGCGUUCCCCUGUACUGGGGCAUAUAAAGUUUGCAAGACCAAGGGGCCUCUCUUUCCAGUGAUGGCUGACGAGGCCAUCUUCUGAUACAUAUGCAGGUAGAGACACGAGCUCUAGGGGUACUGGUUAGUUCAUAUUGUUGUUCCACCUAUAGUGUUGCAGACCCCUUCAGUUCCUUGGGUACUUUCUCUAGCUCCUGUAUAGGGGGCCCUGUGAUCCAUCCAAUAGCUUACUGUGAGCAUCCACUUCUGUAUUUGCCAAGCACUGGCAUAGCCUCACAAGAGACAGCUAUAUCAGGGUCCUUUCAGCAAAAUCUUGCUAGUGUAUGCAAUGGUGUCAGCAUUUGGAGAUUGAUUAUGGGAUGGAUCCCAGGGUGGGGCAGUCUCUAAAUUCCCAGUUGUCCUUUUAAAUGUGGAAAUGUUUAAUUGAAUAUACUGACAUCAUAGCUUGCCUCUCUGUCUUUGACUAAAUGGAAAGUUUCAGGGGACUUUUAGAUAAUAUUCAUAUUUAUGCCUUUCUAUAUUUCCAUGUACAGAUGUAACUGCAGCAAGAAAAUAUUUUUAGAAUAAAAAAUGUUUUAAAAAUUGGUUUAUUUUUAUGGGUAUGGGUGUUUUGCUCACAUGUAAAUCUAUGCACAGUUAGUGUUUAGUGCCUGUGGAGGCCAGAAGAGAAUAUCAGAUUGCUUAGUACUGGAGUUAGAGAUGGUUGUGAGCCACCUGUGGUGCUCUGGAAUUCAACCUGGCUCCUCUGGUGGAGUAACCAGUACUCUUAAUGGCUGAAACAUCUCUCUAGCCUUUAUUUUUGGAAUUUUUAAACAAAUAUCAAGUUUUCUUUUUAUAAAAAAAAGUUAUGUUUAUAUAAGAUAAAUUAAGAAAAUGUUUUCCUAUUUGGCAAAUAUAUCUUUAAAAAUCACUCUUUAAAAAAAUCAUGUGAUAUAUUUUUAAAGAUUUUAUGUUAGAUCUUAAAGUGUUUAAUUGAACAACGGUUUCGAUUCAACUUACAGGAUUGAUGAUGUUAACACUGGAAACUAUUUAGUAAUACAUAAUUUAACAAUAAGUAAUGGAAAUUAAUUAUUAUACAAUAAUUAUACAAUUGAAUAAAUGUAUUCCUAAAGCACGUUGUAGAGGCAUUGACUAUAAACUUCCUUCCUGCUUUCCCCUUUGCCAUUAGGUAAUGAUACAGAGUGUUACAGCAGCUGACAUGUAUAUGCUAGAUUUCUAUCUUUAGUGUUUCCUUAGGGAAAUUUGCUUUGUUUAUUUGUUUGUUGUUUAUUGUUAUUGAUUGGAAUAGAAAGGUUUCAUUACUCCAUGAUGGUUCUCAGAAUCAAGAAAGUGGAGGUAAAAGUUCAGAUCGUGACAAGCACACCAAAAUGAGAAUAACAACUAUUAGUUUGUCUAGAUACUAUUACUAUAAAGAGAGUAAAAAUUGGUUUUUUAAAAUAAUUUUCUAAUCUUAACUAUUUUAAUAGCUUAUCAUUUGUCUUAGAAAAAGUUAAUUUUAAAAAGGACUGGAGGGAGUCUCAGUGGUAAGAGCAUUGGCUGCUCUUCCAGAGAACAUAGGUUGAAUUCCUAGCGCCAUGGAGUGGCUCCUCACAACAGUCUGUAACUCAAGUUCUCGGGGUCUGAUGCUUUCUUCUGGUUUCUGCAGGCACCAGACAUACACAUGAUACACAGACAUGAUGGCAUGCAGACAAAACACCCACACACAUAAAAUAACAUAAAUUAUAAAGGACCACUUUUCUAUUGCUAAAGUAUAUGUACGAGUUCUUAACUCAUUUAAGAAUUUACUAGCUUCCUUUGCAAUUUAGCCAUAUAUUGAAAAAGAGGAAAAUUUAGUUUAUGAUUUUCCUAUGCUUUUCAGAUAUAAGCUAAUAUGACUGGUGAAUAAUUUGUUUUUGUGAAAUAAAACAUGUUACUUCUGCAUUAGUUUAAGUGGGGAUAGUUUUAAUAAAUUACUUCACCUAAAGGCAAGGACUGAGGUUGUAGCUUAAUGAUAAAAUACCUGUGAAGUCUGGUUUUCAUCUCCAAGACCACAUACAAGGAAGAGUUGGCAGUUUAUAAUUUAAUAUGACUUUAUCUUUGUCUUGCUUUUCAUUAUUUUAUGGAUUUUUGUGGUUUUUAAGACUGGUGAAAAGAGAAAUCCACCUUAUUUCUUUCAGAGUAUGGAUGAGGUGACAGUAAGUAGAUCCCAUUAGUUAGACGUGUUGAGCAAGGUGACUACAUUCAGGUUUCUCGAAUCAGAUCUUCCCAAGCUCCUUUCUUUCCCAGAUAUCUCUUGAGUAUUUCUCAUGACACAGCAAUAAAACCCAGCUCUGUUCUUUUACUCUUAGCAAUCAAUCAGUAUACUAGGCAUUGGUGGGGAGGACAUAAAGCCAUUCAAGAUUUAAAAUGAACAUAUCUAGUAGAAUACCUCACUUUAGUAUUAAACAGUUGAGUUGCUGUGUUGAAGGCAUCACUUUUAUAAAGCAAAUUUUGAGGCAUAACCUCAAAGGUGAAAGCCCUGCAUUGUCUAAUACUUAUCUGACCCUUUUGUCUUGUGAUUCUAUGUUCAAUGAAGAAAUGGAUCUAUACAUCCAGUUUUAAAGACUCACCUCAUUCACACACAUUCAUUAUUCCUUCAAAAACAUGGAGUGUUUGCUCUUGGUGCUGGACAGAGGGCGCAUUAGAUACAGUGUUGCCUUGUCUUUGCCUCUCAAGAGGCUUUAUUACAUGACAACCAUCUUUUGAACCUUGAAAUGGAUUGAUUCAAUUUGAUUCUUUUGUGAUGUCCUAUAUGAGUUCUGACUCUCAAAGGCUGUAAAGAAUGAAUGUGGCUUAAGUGAAACAAAGACAGUGACUUGGAGAAAGAUAUUAAAUCCCAAGUGUAAGGUUUCACAUUGUUAAGUGCAAGACUUCCUUAGGGAAGGGAAGAAUAUGAUUACAAUUACAUUUCAGACUUUUGAGAAGUGGUAGUCAAAGGGAUAUUACCUAAUUUUUAUUUUUUUUAAGUACUGGAUACUCAAAAAACUAUAACUAGAAAAUGAUACAUGAGAAAAAAUAUUAUACCCCUGUGCUCAAGUCCUCCUCCCUUUAGGAGGAUAUCCGUUCAUUACUCCAUGAUUUACUGAUUAAGUUUGCUUUCAGAAAUUGUUUUUUUUUUGUUGUUGUUGUUGAUUUUAAAAUCACAGACAAGAUGCAUACAUGUGAAUGUCUCUCUAUGGAUGCAUGCAUACGUGCGCACAUGUGUGUUUGUCAUUGAUGAAGUAUUUUCAGUUUUAUAUUGGAACUAUUGUUUCUGUGCCUUUGAAAUUCAGAGUUUGGAGAAUUGUAAGUUGUGUUUUACUGGGUGGGAUAUGGUAAUCCUUUAAUUCAUUUCUAGAGGUCAUUUCUCUGCACGUAAUCUAUUCUUAAAAGAUGUGUCAUGUCUUCCACAAAAUUUGUUAUGGCUUAGCCCAAUCAUGUAUAAGUUUUUAGAAGAUAUGUAACUAAUUUGAUGAAGAUUUAUUCAUGAUCUUAAAAUUUAAAGCAGUGUGUGUGUGUGUGUGUGUGUGUCUGUGUGUCUGUGUGUCUGUGUGUUUGUCUGUGUGUGUGUCUGUGUAUGUGUUGUUUGUUUGUUUUUGACAGGUUCUCUAUGUAACUGUCCUAGUUAGGGUUAUCAUUGCUGUAAUGAAACACCAUGUAACUUAGGGAGGUAAGAGUUUAUUUGAUUUGUACUUCCAUGUUACUGUCAUCAUUGAAGGGAGUCAGGAUAGGACUCAAAUAAGGUAGGACCUGAAGGCAAGAGCUGAUGCAGAGGCCAUGAAGGAGUGCUGCUCACUGUCUUGAUCCUUAUGACUCCUUCAGCCAUCUUUCUUACAGAAUCCAGAGCUACCAGCCCACGAGUGACCACACACACAGUAGGCUGGGACCUUCCCAUCAAUCACUAAUUAAGAAAAUGCCCUUAUAGGCUUACCGACAGCCAGAUCUUACGGAGGCAUUCUAUCAAUUGAGGCUGCCUCCUUUUUGAUGACUUGCUUAUGUCAAGUUGACAUAACACUCAUAAGCACAGUAAAAUAGGCUAACCUGGAGAUCACAGUAAAAUAGGCUAACCUGGAGAUCACUUUAACCUGGAGAUCACACUAAAAUAGGCUAACCUGGAGGUCACUUUAACCUGGAGAUCACAGUAAAAUAGGCUAACCUGGAGGUCACUUUAACCUGGAGGUCACAGUAAAAUAGGCUAACCUGGAGGUCACUUUAACCUGGAGGUCACAAUAAAAUAGGCUAACCUGGAGAUCACUUUAACCUGGAGAUCACAGUAAAAUAGGCUAACCUGGAGGUCACAGUAAAAUAGGCUAACCUGGAGGUCACUUUAACCUGGAGGUCACAGUAAAAUAGGCUAACCUGGAGGUCACUUUAACCUGGAGGUCACAAUAAAAUAGGCUAACCUGGAGGUCACUUUAACCUGGAGAUCACAGUAAAAUAGGCUAACCUGGAGGUCACAGUAAAAUAGGCUAACCUGGAGGUCACUUUAACCUGGAGAUCACAGUAAAAUAGGCUAACCUGGAGAUCACUUUAACCUGGAGGUCACAGUAAAAUAGGCUAACCUGGAGGUCACUUUAACCUGGAGAUCACAGUAAAAUAGGCUAACCUGGAGGUCACAGUAAAAUAGGCUAACCUGGAGGUCACUUUAACCUGGAGGUCACAGUAAAAUAGGCUAACCUGGAGAUCACUUUAACCUGGAGAUCACAGUAAAAUAGGCUAACCUGGAGGUCACAGUAAAAUAGGCUAACCUGGAGGUCACUUUAACCUGGAGAUCACAGUAAAAUAGGCUAACCUGGAGGUCACUUUAACCUGGAGGUCACAGUAAAAUAGGCUAACCUGGAGGUCACUUUAACCUGGAGAUCACAGUAAAAUAGGCUAACCUGGAGGUCACUUUAACCUGGAGAUCACAGUAAAAUAGGCUAACCUGGAGGUCACUUUAACCUGGAGGUCACAGUAAAAUAGGCUAACCUGGAGGUCACUUUAACCUGGAGAUCACAGUAAAAUAGGCUAACCUGGAGAUCACUUUAACCUGGAGGUCACAGUAAAAUAGGCUAACCUGGAGGUCACUUUAACCUGGAGAUCACAGUAAAAUAGGCUAACCUGGAGGUCACAGUAAAAUAGGCUAACCUGUAGAUCACUUUAACCUGGAGAUCACAGUAAAAUAGGCUAACCUGGAGGUCACUUUAACCUGGAGAUCACAGUAAAAUAGGCUAACCUGGAGGUCACUUUAACCUGGAGAUCACAGUAAAAUAGGCUAACCUGGAGGUCACUUUAACCUGGAGAUCACAGUAAAAUAGGCUAACCUGGAGGUCACAGUAAAAGCUAACCUGUAGAUCACUUUAACCUGGAGAUCACAGUAAAAUAGGCUAACCUGG